ACUGAAACAGCAGAACUAAAGGAAUUGUCAGGGUUCUAACCAACACCAGGAUUAUGCUGAGUAAGACAAUGUACAAAUAGAUAUUUUGAAGCUGCCCAAGGAACUUAACAUUCAGAUUUAUGAAAAAUAUGAGGACAAUGACAAACAAGCAGAGAUACUUGGUUCUCAGAAAUGAAGAAGAACUACAUCUCCCAGAAGACUUCACUGUUCUGUUUCCAUCUUCCAUUUAGAGGGAAGGAUAAAACUGCUCAUGAGUCACGAGACUUCCCCUUCUUUUACUACCGUCUCUGCAGUGCGUGCGCUCCCUAACGAUAUCACCUUCAGCAUUAGAGUAUGUAUUAAAUAGUAAACAUUGCCUUGAUGGUACUUUUCUUCAAAGAACUUGAUAGACUGGAGACACAACAAUAAAAAUAGGACAUUAGUUUUCGUAGCUUACUCUUUGCUGAAGUGCAAAUAAAUUGUCAGUUUUAGUAUCAAGAUUUACAGUGAAAUGGUAUCACCAACAUCCUUGGAGACAAUCAUUCAACAACAUGCACAAUGUUUGUUCAAAGAUUUUCUGAAAACUCCUUCUGCUACCAAAUAAAACUUGGCAUAUUACAUACAGUGGAAAAGAACCUUCCUCCUCCAAACUCCAGACACAACUCCGCCCCUUGAUUGCUGCAAAAGCUAUGCUUUUUAUACAGUAAUAAGAAAGAUUUGAGUAAAGCAGUAAAGGCUUCUACAUUUCUGAGAUGGGCCAGCACAGAAUGGUUUUCUGUAUACAGAUCUCACCAUUCUGUAGACAUGGAAGAGAUUAAUGCUACUUGGAUAAAGAGAUAAGCACUAGAAGGAAUUUAUUAUCUUCCAAGGAAAUUAUCAACCCAAUCACUAGUGGGGUUCCCCAGUGUUCCAUGUUAGGGCCUUUAAUUUAAUUAGGGCCUAAAUUAAGGCCUAAAAACUCUCUAAUGUUUUCAUAAAUUACUGGGAUCACAGAAUCAUGGAAUGGCUUGGGUUGGAAGAGACCUCAAGGAUCAUUAAAUUCCAAAUCAUUAAGUUCCAACCUUCUUGCCACAGGCAGGGUUACCAGUUGGUAGAUCAAGUACUAGAUCAGAUUGCACAAGGCCCCGUUCAACCUGGCCUUGAAAACCUCCAGGGACAGGGCAUCCACAGCCUCUCUGGGCAGCCUGUUUCAACACCUCACCACUCUCUCAGUAAAAAUCUUCCCCAUUACAUCUAAUCUAAAUCUCCCUUCCUUUAGUUUAAAAUCAUUCCUCCUUGUCCUAUAACUAUCUAUCCAUGUAAAAAGUAGAUUUCCCUCAUGUUUAUAAACUCUCUUUAAAUAUUGGAAGGCCACAAUGAGGUCUCCUGCAGCUUUCCUUUUUCCAGACUGAACAAACACAGUUCCUGCAGCCUGUCUUCACAGAAGAGGUACUCCAUGGCCCUCCUCUGGACCCUCUCCAAAAGCUCCACAUUCUUCCUGUGCUGGGGUCCCCAGACUUGGAUGCAGUACUCCAGCUGGGGCCUCACAAGGGCAGAAGAGAGGGGCACAAUCACUUUCCUUGCCCUGAUGGCCACCCCUCUUCUAAUGGAACCCAGGAUACCAUUGGCUUUCAGGGAUGAAUGAAUGUUUGAUGUAGGCCUAGAAGGUAUUCUGAGCAAAUUUGCUGACUCUGUCAAGGGUGGAGAGGCCUUGCAAAAAGUUCUAGACAAAUUAGAGAGCUGAGCAAUCACCAACUGCACGAAGUUGAACAAGUGCCAGAGUCUUCACCUGGGACAGCCCCAAACUACCAGAGUUUGAGAAGCAUCUGGACAAUGCUCUCAGUCACAUGGUCUGAUUUUUUUGGGUGGUCUUGUGUGGAGUUGGACUCAGUGAUCCUUCUGGGACCCUUCCAAUAAAGAAUAUUCUACGAUCCUAUGAUGACUUAUUAACAGUGAUCAACAUCUAAUCAUACAACAGGCGGAGACUUUUGGGAGAGCCAAGAUUUAAGAAAGGGAUCAACAGAAGCAGAGAAAACAGUCACCCUAAAAAAUCAGAGUAAAGAGUGUUUUCUGAUGCAAAUCAAAAUGUCACUUUCCUAUGAAACAGCAGCCCAUAAUCUGGGGGAAGGUUUAAACGUGCUGACUGUUAAGGGGGAAUAUUGGGCAGUGGAUGGUUGUAUUCACUACAGAAGACAUU
Gallus gallus (chicken) is the source of this 2155-nucleotide long non-coding RNA. Lineage: Eukaryota; Metazoa; Chordata; Aves; Galliformes; Phasianidae. The record is from Ensembl.